RNAcentral lists this transfer RNA (75 nucleotides) under Anaerolinea thermolimosa. RNAcentral's name for it is "tRNA-His". It matches the Rfam family "tRNA". Rfam says of the family: Transfer RNA (tRNA) molecules are approximately 80 nucleotides in length. Lineage: Bacteria; Bacillati; Chloroflexota; Anaerolineae; Anaerolineales; Anaerolineaceae. The record is from RNAcentral.
GUGGCUGUAGCUCAAUGGCGGAGCGUCUGACUGUGGAUCAGAAGGGUGUGGGUUCGACCCCCAUCAGCCACCCCA